Molecule: long non-coding RNA, 692 nt
Filed under: Homo sapiens (human)
Lineage: Eukaryota; Metazoa; Chordata; Mammalia; Primates; Hominidae
Description: non-protein coding lnc-COL4A3BP-3:4
Source: RNAcentral
AGUACAAUCUGCUGCCCAGGACCUGGACAUUGACAGAUAAAAUGAAGUGGGUCAGUUAACUACAGAGGGAAGAAUAUGAAGAACUGCUUCAUUAUGCUAUAGUGACUCCAAAUAUUGAACCCUGUGCUUCACAGUCAUCUCAUCCUAAGGGAGAAUUGGUGCCAGAUGUCAGAAUUUCUACAAUUCAUGAUAUUCUUCAUAGUCAAGGAAAUAACUCUGAAGUAAGAGAAACUGCAAUAGAAGUUGGAAAAGGAUGUGAUUUCCAUAUUUCAAGUCAUUCAAAGACAGAUGCUACAACUUUUCUUUUAUUCAGAGUCAUCACCAGUGUUAUCGCCAAGGAAGCCUUCUCACCCAGUCAUGGAUUUUUUCAGUUCACAUCUUUUAGCUGACUCUUCCUCACCAGCAACAAAUUCUAGUCAUACAGAUGCCCAUGAAAUACUUGUGAGCGAUUUUCUUGUUUCUGAUGAAAACCUUCAGAAGAUGGAAAAUGUGCUUGAUCUUUGGAGUUCAGGUCUUAAGACAAACAUCAUAUCUGAACUAAGUAAAUGGAGACUUAAUUUUAUUGACUGGCACCGAAUGGAAAUGAGAAAAGAGAAAGAAAAACAUGCAGCACAUUUAAAACAACUGUGUAAUCAGAUCAAUGAAUUGAAGGAGCUGCAAAAAACCUUUGAAAUCUCCAUUGGGAGAAAAGA